AGCAAAGGCCAUACCACCCUGAAUGCACACAAUUUUGUCUGGUCUUGGAAACUAAGCCGAACUGGGCAUAGUUAGUAUAAGAUAUUCUCCUGUGGUGCUAUUUAGAGUCUUUGGAG
This 116-nucleotide ribosomal RNA is filed under the name Carlito syrichta (Philippine tarsier). Lineage: Eukaryota; Metazoa; Chordata; Mammalia; Primates; Tarsiidae. The record is from RNAcentral.